GCCGGAGUGGCGGAAUUGGCAGACGCGACGGAUUCAAAAUCCGUUGCCCGAAAGGGUGUGCGGGUUCGACUCCCGCCUCCGGCA
RNAcentral lists this transfer RNA (84 nucleotides) under Phycisphaerales bacterium. Its description in RNAcentral is "tRNA-Leu". It matches the Rfam family "tRNA". From Rfam's summary of the family: Transfer RNA (tRNA) molecules are approximately 80 nucleotides in length. Their secondary structure includes four short double-helical elements and three loops (D, anti-codon, and T loops). Lineage: Bacteria; Pseudomonadati; Planctomycetota; Phycisphaerae; Phycisphaerales. The record is from RNAcentral.